GGCAUUAAAUUCAUUGAAGAUCUGCAGUUUAAACAAUUAGUUCUUCAUCACUUUUCCAAGCUCUAUAUCAUCCUUUCAUGAGCUAUUUUUCACACCACUAACAGCUAAAUGAGAUCAAGAACUAAAAAGUGGAAGACUUGUGUAAUCAGCAACAGAAAGUAGCUGUCCUUGCACAAGGCUUUUUGCAUAAUCAUACAGAAAAUAAAAGCUAUUAUGCAUAUUUGCAGAAGUGAGAUCGACACCUUGAGCACUAAAACCCUCAUACGACAUGAACUAGACAGACACUAUCCCAGACUAGCGCUUGCUGCUGCAAGGGGUGGGGGAGAAGGAAAGAGAGAGACAGAGAGAGAUAGCUCAUAAUUGAAUGCUGGUUGGGACAAUUCCCAUGAAUAAGCGAAAGCAGCUUAAAAUGUUUUGGAUGGAAAUCUAUAAGAAGAGGGGAUCUGGAUAUGAUCUUAGUUUGAAUUGUUUAAGAGAAAAUUAGCAUAUUCUUUUAACUGAUUUGCCUCCUGCAUAAAUACAAUAUUCAUGAAUGGAGAAAAAAAAAUCAUUUACUUGAGAUGGUUAAUUAAGGAAAUCUUUUGAGUAUUGUUGUAAAAUAUAUUUUUAGCACAUUCUUUUAACCAAUUUACCUCCCACGUAAAUACUAAAUUCAUGAAUUAGGGAAAAAGAAAAAAUACUUGAGAUGGUUAAAUAAGAAAAUUCCUGUAACAUUUGUUGUAAAAUAUGCUUUGGACUCUAUUGUUUCAAAAUUAGCAAUGCUAGUCCCUAUCUACCAUCAAUGAAAAGAACAAGAUUUUGAAGGACUAAAGUAUUUCAUAAGAUAAUUCAAGGACUGAAAUACAAUAAAAUUUUAAAAUUUUAGGAAAUAAAGUGUUUCAUAAUAUAAUUCAAGGGCUAAAAUGCAAUAAAAAUGAAAGUUUUACGAACUAAUGUGUUUGGGGGACUAAAGUACAAUGAAAAAUCAUAACUUUAUUAAACAAGGACUAAAUUGUAGAGUCAUUACUAAAUCACAAGUACCAAAAUGUAUAUUAUGAAAAACCUUGGGGUAUUUUAGUAAUUGACCCUAUUUGAGGCGGAAUUAAAAUUAUACCUUGUUAUAUGUGCUUCAAGUCCACAUUCAAAUAUUGCUUUCCAUUCCAACCAACAAAAAAUAUUGCUUUUUAUUGAACUCAGGAAUCAAAAGAUGCAAAACAAGUCAGACAUUUGUUAAAAAUUCAACACCUAAUUAGGGGUGUCCAUUCUUCAAUUAUAUCCAAAAAACCGAACUAACCUCACAAAUUCAGUUAUUUUGGUAAAAAGUAAUUCAGUUAUUGGUUUGGAUAGUAUUUUUUAAAUAAAUUUUGGUUUUCGAUUUUUU
Molecule: unclassified non-coding RNA, 1360 nt
Filed under: Hevea brasiliensis (rubber tree)
Lineage: Eukaryota; Viridiplantae; Streptophyta; Magnoliopsida; Malpighiales; Euphorbiaceae
Source: RNAcentral